Molecule: ribosomal RNA, 253 nt
Filed under: uncultured bacterium
Lineage: Bacteria
Description: partial 16S ribosomal RNA
Rfam family: Bacterial small subunit ribosomal RNA
Source: RNAcentral
UACGGAGGGGCUAGCGUUGUUCGGAAUUACUGGGCGUAAAGCGCACGUAGGCGGCUUUGCAAGUUAGAGGUGAAAGCCCGGGGCUCAACUCCGGAAUUGCCUUUAAAACUGCAUCGCUAGAAUUGUGGAGAGGUAAGUGGAAUUCCGAGUGUAGAGGUGAAAUUCGUGAGAUAUUCGGAAGAACACCAGUGGCGAAGGCGACUUACUGGACACAUAUUGACGCUGAGGUGCGAAAGCGUGGGGAGCAAACAGG